GAUAAGAACGUAGCGAAAUGCGAUAAGUAAUGUGAAUUGCAGAAUUCAGUGAAUCAUCGAAUCUUUGAACGCACAUUGCGCCCGCUAGUAUUCUGGCGGGCAUGCCUGUCCGAGCGUCAUUUCAACCCUCAAGCCCCCGGGCUUGGUGUUGGGGAUCGGCGAGCCUCCGCGCCCGCCGUCCCCUAAAUCUAGUGGCGGUCUCGCUGUAGCUUCCUCUGCGUAGUAGCACACCUCGCACUGGGAAACAGCGCGGCCACGCCGUUAAACCCCCAACUUCUGAACGUUUGACCUCGGAUCAGGUAGGAAUACCCGCUGAACUUAAGCAUAUCAAUAAGCGGAGGA
This 342-nucleotide unclassified non-coding RNA is filed under the name soil metagenome. RNAcentral describes it as "partial contains 5.8S ribosomal RNA, internal transcribed spacer 2, and large subunit ribosomal RNA". The stretch from base 4 to 119 matches the Rfam family "5.8S ribosomal RNA", at positions 39 to 154 of the family's 154-position model. The record is from RNAcentral.